Molecule: ribosomal RNA, 411 nt
Filed under: Macaca hecki (Heck's macaque)
Lineage: Eukaryota; Metazoa; Chordata; Mammalia; Primates; Cercopithecidae
Description: partial 12S ribosomal RNA
Rfam family: Bacterial small subunit ribosomal RNA
Source: RNAcentral
CCCUAGAGGAGCCUGUUCCAUAAUCGAUAAACCCCGAUCCACCUCACCCUCUCUUGCUUAGCCUAUAUACCGCCAUCUUCAGCAAACCCUGAUAAAGGUUACAAAGUGAGCACAAACGCCCUACCGCCGCAAAAACGUUAGGUCAAGGUGUAGCCCAUGAGAGGGUAAAAAUGGGCUACAUUUUCUAUAUCAGAAAACUCCACGAAAACUCUUAUGAAAUCUGAGAGUCCAAGGAGGAUUUAGCAGUAAAUUAAGAAUAGAGUGCUUAAUUGAACCAGGCCAUAAAGCGCGCACACACCGCCCGUCACUCCCCUCAAAUAUAUUUAAGGAACAUCUUAACUAAACGCCCUAAUAUUUAUAUAGAGGGGAUAAGUCGUAACAUGGUAAGUGUACUGGAAGGUGCACUUGGAU